CUACGUGCCAGCAGCCGCGGUAAUACGUAGGGGGCAAGCGUUAUCCGGAUUUAUUGGGUUUAAAGGGAGCGUAGGCGGAUUGUUAAGUCAGCGGUUAAAGGGUGUGGCUCAACCAUGCAUUGCCGUUGAAACUGGCGAUCUUGAGUGCAGACAAGGAUGCCGGAAUUCGUGGUGUAGCGGUGAAAUGCUUAGAUAUCACGAAGAACUCCGAUCGCGAAGGCAGGUGUCCGGGCUGCAACUGACGCUGAGGCUCGAAAGUGUGGGUAUCAAACAGGAUUAGAUACCCUGGUAGUCCACACAGUAAACGAUGUAUACUCGCGGUUUGCGAUAGACAGUAAGCCGCCAAGCGAAAGCAUUAAGUAUACCACCUGGGGAGUACGCCGGCAACGGUGAAACUCAAAGGAAUUGACGGGGGCCCGCACAAGCGGAGGAACAUGUGGUUUAAUUCGAUGAUACGCGAGGAACCUUACCCGGGCUUGAAC
Molecule: ribosomal RNA, 482 nt
Filed under: uncultured bacterium
Lineage: Bacteria
Description: bacterial SSU rRNA
Rfam family: Bacterial small subunit ribosomal RNA
Source: RNAcentral